This 450-nucleotide ribosomal RNA is filed under the name uncultured bacterium. Its description in RNAcentral is "partial 16S ribosomal RNA". It matches the Rfam family "Bacterial small subunit ribosomal RNA", at positions 338 to 795 of the family's 1533-position model. The record is from RNAcentral.
CCUACGGGGGGCUGCAGUGGGGAAUUUUGGACAAUGGGGGCAACCCUGAUCCAGCCAUUCCGCGUGAGUGAAGAAGGCCUUCGGGUUGUAAAGCUCUUUCGGCCGGGAAGAAAUCGUGCGGGCCAAUACUCUGUAUGGAUGACGGUACCGGAAGAAGAAGCACCGGCUAACUACGUGCCAGCAGCCGCGGUAAUACGUAGGGUGCGAGCGUUAAUCGGAAUUACUGGGCGUAAAGGGGGAGCAGGCGGUUGAACUCCCCGGGCUUAACCUGGGAACUGCGCUUGUGACUGCAAGACUAGAGUGCGGCAGAGGGUGGUGGAAUUCCACGUGUAGCAGUGAAAUGCGUAGAGAUGUGAAGGAACACCGAUGGCGAAGGCAGCCCCCUGGGUCGACACUGACGCUCAUGCACGAAAGCGUGGGGAGCAAACAGGAUUAGAUACCCCUGUAGUC